AUAAAAGUAGCAGUACUUGGUGGCGACCGGCGCACGGGUGAGUAACGCGUAUGCAACCUACCUAGUCAGAGGGGAAUAACCCGGCGAAAGUCGGACUAAUACCGCAGUAAAACAGGGACACCGCAUGGUGAUAUUUGUUAAAGAAAUUCGCUGAUAGAUGGGCAUGCGUUCCAUUAGGUAGUUGGUGAGGUAACGGCUCACCAAGCCGACGAUGGAUAGGGGAACUGAGAGGUUGGUCCCCCACACUGGUACUGAGACACGGACCAGACUCCUACGGGAGGCAGCAGUGAGGAAUAUUGGUCAAUGGGCGAGAGCCUGAACCAGCCAAGUCGCGUGAAGGAAGAAGGAUCUAUGGUUCGUAAACUUCUUUUGCAGGGGAAUAAAGUGCAGGACGUGUCCUGUUUUGUAUGUACCCUGAGAAUAAGGAUCGGCUAACUCCGUGCCAGCCGCGGC
This 453-nucleotide ribosomal RNA is filed under the name uncultured bacterium. RNAcentral describes it as "bacterial SSU rRNA". It matches the Rfam family "Bacterial small subunit ribosomal RNA", at positions 70 to 518 of the family's 1533-position model. The record is from RNAcentral.